Molecule: unclassified non-coding RNA, 336 nt
Filed under: soil metagenome
Description: partial contains 5.8S ribosomal RNA, internal transcribed spacer 2, and large subunit ribosomal RNA
Rfam family: 5.8S ribosomal RNA (bases 1-120)
Source: RNAcentral
GAUGAAGAACGCAGCGAAAUGCGAUAAGUAGUGUGAAUUGCAGAAUUCAGUGAAUCAUCGAAUCUUUGAACGCACAUUGCGCCGCUUGGUAGUACAUGGGGCAUGCCUGUUAGAGCGUCAUUUGUACCUUCAAGCUUUGCUUGGUGUUGGGUGUUUGUCUCGCCUUUGCGUGUAGACUCGCCUUAAAAUAAUUGGCAGCCGGCGUAUUGAUUUCGGAGCGCAGUACAUCUCGCGCUUUGCACUCAUAACGACAGCGUCCAAAAGUACAUUUUACACUCUUGACCUCGGAUCAGGUAGGGAUACCCGCUGAACUUAAGCAUAUCAAUAAGCGGAGGA